AGAACAACACCAACCAGUGUAGAGUUGAUGGAGUCUCGAGUAAUUCUUGCACCCAAAUCAGGAUCGAUCGAGAUGGGACCGACACUAUCUCGGGUGCCUUCAACACCCAAAUGGAUGGCGGCAUCAAGCGAUCGACCACCUACUGAAGAGCUUGGGAAAGCAUCGGCCAGCUCGACUGACGAUGGGUCAUCGAUGAGCUUUACGGA
Molecule: long non-coding RNA, 206 nt
Filed under: Elaeis guineensis (African oil palm)
Lineage: Eukaryota; Viridiplantae; Streptophyta; Magnoliopsida; Arecales; Arecaceae
Description: long non-coding RNA (EGUI_LNC017562)
Source: RNAcentral